Oncorhynchus tshawytscha (Chinook salmon) is the source of this 324-nucleotide long non-coding RNA. NCBI's taxonomy places the organism in Eukaryota, Metazoa, Chordata, Actinopteri, Salmoniformes, Salmonidae. The record is from Ensembl.
CCGAGGUCUAUGGUGAUAGGUGGGAUGGGCUGAGUGGCUGAGAGUUGAGGUUAAGAGCUGAGGUCUAUGGUGACAGGUGGGAUGGGCUGAGUGGCUGAGGGUUGAGAUUAAGAGCUGAGGUCUAUGGUGAUAGGUGGGAUGGGCUGAGUGGCUGAGGGUUGGGAUUAAGAGCUGAGGUCUAUGGUGAUAGGUGGGAUGGGCUGAGUGGCUGAGAGUUGAGAUUAAGAGCUGAGGUCUAUGGUGAUAGGUGGGAUGGGCUGAGUGGCUGAGGGUUGAGAUUAAAGAGCUGAGGUCUAUGGUGAUAGGUGGGAUGGGCUGAGUGGG